UGUGGUGAUGAUGGCUUGAAGGAUACACCUGUUCCCAUGCCGAACACAGAAGUUAAGCUUCAACGCGCCGAAAGUAGUUGGG
This 82-nucleotide ribosomal RNA is filed under the name Limosilactobacillus ingluviei. Lineage: Bacteria; Bacillati; Bacillota; Bacilli; Lactobacillales; Lactobacillaceae. The record is from RNAcentral.